This is a non-coding RNA of Phalacrocorax carbo (great cormorant), 5992 nucleotides long. The record is from RefSeq and is a predicted model, not a curated record. Lineage: Eukaryota; Metazoa; Chordata; Aves; Suliformes; Phalacrocoracidae.
GGCAUCGUCGUCGUCGGGCAUCGUUGACGGUCAUCGUCAGGCAUCAUCUUUGUCAGUCGUCGUCAUCGGUCGUUGACAUCGGGCAUCUGCGUUGGGCGUCAGCAUUGGAGCGUCGACGGAUGUCGGCGUCGUUGACGACCGGCAUCAUCGGGUGUUGUCAUCGGGCUUCGAUGUCAUCGGGGGGCAUCGUCGGGCGUCAUCGGGCUUCGUCAUCGUCAUUGGGCAGUGUCGAUGGUCGUCGUUGUCGUUGAUGGUCGUCGUCGAAUGUCGUCGUCGUAGUCCUUCGUAGUUGACCGUCGUUGCGGUUGACUUUCGUCAUUGUCAUUGACCAUCAUCCUCGACCUUUUUUGUCAUCGUCAUUGUCGUCGUCAUUGUUGUCGUCGAUCGUCGUUGUCAUCAUCAAAUGUUGUCGUCUUUGAUUGUUGUUGUCGCUGUCGACCGUUAUCGUUGAACGUUGUCGUCAUCUUCAACCGCUGUCGUCGGCAUCAUCAUUGUUGAGCGUUGGCGUCAGCAUCAUUGUUGACCGUCGUCGUGGAUUGUCGUGGUUGACCAUUGUCGGCAUUGAUCGUUGUUGUCAUCGUCGUUGACCGUCUUCCUCGUUGUUGACCUUCAUCGUUAUCAUCGACCAUCUUCCUCAACUGUUCUUGUCAUCGUCGUCGUUGUCGACCAUUGUCAUCGUAGUCAUUGACCGUCGUCAUUGUCAACCGUUGUCAUCAACGUUUUCGUUGUCGUCGUUGUCGUCGUUCAUCAUCGACCGUUGUUGUUGUCGUCAAACAACGUUGUCGUUCAAUAGCAGCAGCGGGCAUCAUCCUCGUUGUCGUCAUCGAGCGUCGUCGUUGUCGUUGAUUCUCAUCGACCGUCAUCAACCAUUGCUGUCAUCCAUCAUUGCUUGUCCUCUACAGUUGUCGCCGUCGACAGUUGUCACCUGUCAUCGUCAUCAUCACCCAUUGUCACCGAUUGUUGCUGUCGUCGACCAUCAUCGUCGUCGUUGUCGUCGUCGACCGUCAUCGGCCGUUGUUGACUGUCGUCAUCGUCCGUCGUCGUCAAAUGUCGUCAUCGUAGUCCAUCGUCAACAACCAUAUUCGUCAUGGACCAUCAUCGUCGUUGCUGACUGUCACCAUCAUCGACUGUUGUCGUAGUCAUUGUCGUCGUCCGCCGUUGAUGUCAGUAUUAAUGUCAGAUGUCAGAUUAAUGCUCAAAAUAGCCUCCAUGGUUAUACACUGAUUCUUAUUUUCGUGGUGCUCAAAGCACCAAGACACUUAGGUAGCUUGCUGUAGUUACAAUAGGCCAAAGAAACAAUGCUGAAACGAUCUUCGUGGGUCAGUCUGAACCUUUGCUGGAUAUAAUGCCUUAAGGCAUGGAUGAUGACCUGGUGCAAGCUGCCAUGUCUGGUGCUGCUGUGGGCAAGCAUGCUUGGACCACCAGCUACUGCUGCUUCUUGAAAAGAGCACUUCAGCCGUGGCACCAGGAAGGUCGCUCCUAGGAAGCUCCAGCCAGGCGUGCUCAAGGAAUAGAUGUGACAGCCACUUGAAUAAAAGCACCAGCUGGAGUUUUCUGGAGUAACCAAGGACAAUUACUCAUAUGUACAGACAGAGGUUUUAAAAAAUGCAGUGCCUGCCGCAACAAGGCCCCCCCAGUUUAGGGAGUGACAGCUACUCUGCAGUGAUGUGGAUGGAUGCACUGGGAGGAAUCCAUAUUUUAUUGCAAUGGAUUGCCUUUCUGAUAGCCAUAAAGAAUACUUCAGACCAGAGGCAAACCGUUCAGUACGAGUGGUAUAAGUGUUAACGUUUGUUUUCAAGGCAGGUAUUCCUGUAGGUGGCAAAUAAACACAAUUCCCAUUCAAAGGAAAUCAGGUUUUAUUAAAAAGCAGAAAAGUCCAGGUUGCUCCCUCUGCUUGCUUACUAAUCUAUUCUCAGUGCAAAAGAACUUAAAGCACUGAAACAUCACAAGAAGUAAACAAAAACUAGCAAGGUGAAAUACUUAAGCGAGAGAGGAAGUUUUUUGUAAUAUAAACGGAAUGUUUGAUGUUAUAAACUCAAAACCAGCAGCUUGUUAACAUAGCAAAUGUAUUGCAUUACAUCAAGUGAUGCUAGCUAUAAAAUAUCUAAUGUUCUGAAUUUCAAAUGUACUAUUUUUAUUGCAUAGCUGUUCCCUGUAAAGACAAAGGUAGCAAUUCCUGAUUUUUUUGUUCUGUUGCUCCCUCAAAAUGCAGUCAGUAUUCUGCAAAAUAAAGCAAAACAGUUGAUGUUCAGAAUAUGCUGCACUUAAAUAACUGCAAGCUGAUAUUUGGAAAAAGGCAUGGGAUGCUAGCUUUUUGAAACUCCUAUUUACUGCAUUUAUUGAGCUUCUAAUGAAGCUGUUUAAUUAGAUGAAUUUAAUAUACACAUAGCUUAGUAUAGGACACAAUUUGUAACAACAAAGUCCCUGCAAACCUUAUCAUGCUGAGCAGUUAAGGCAUGUGAUGAUGGAGGCCUCCAACAGGAAGGUUAGCAGAACAUGAUAAGAGAGAAUUUACUCAAGUAAAAUUUAACAUGUAACUGCUGGGCGAUGUGUUCAGUAUCCCUGCAGUGGUUAUCUGUAUAAAGACCUAUUACAGACUUUUUAUGCAGAUAGAUUGCUUUAUCCUUAAGGAAUAUUGAAAAAUGUCUAGCUGGCAAUCAUGCUACGCUGGAUUUGUGGCCUAAAUCUUCAGCCUGAUGUUAGGAUCAUUCUACAUUAAAGCUACUCAUGCCAUAUUGUGGAGAGCAUAUGUAAUGUCUUAUGGUGUUGAUCAGACUAGGAUUAUUUCCAUGGAAGCUUUACCUUUACUAUCUUGCACAUCAGUAGUAGUUUGACGGAAAUAAAAUGAGGGCAUCUGCAAGAGAAUGCAUGUGUUAGAGAAUACUUACCUUUGUCAAAAGACAUGAAAAUGGUUCAUGUUUAUAGUUUUCUGCCCCAGAGUCAGAAUUUCCCUGGAAUUCCACUUGCAAACUUUUAUUUGUGUGAUAAAAUUUAAUCAUCUGGUAAAUCCUGUUGUCUUCAGUUACUUCAAAUGUGUAUGUUAGGCAGGUACCUCAUGUUUUGUGAGCCUUGAUUGCUCACCCUUAUUCAUGCCAGUGAACGGAAAGACAAGACAAUUAUCUCUCUAAUUUGAUUCAUAGAAACUGUGAGCAAAGUCUUGGGUGUUGCAGCUUCUUUCGCCUGUGAGGAAAUCUUAGAGAGUGUCAAGGAAGGAGUGGCCUCAGCAGCUCAAGAGUUUUCUGACAUAUCCUCAAGGAGCCAGGACGUUGAUGCUGAGGAGUCAGGGCAAACUUCAGAAGUUUCUGUGGAGGAGAAGACACCUGAAGAAGUUGCUACGGAACCCUAAAGCGUGGACCAGAACUGUACCCAGUACUCCAGGCGUGGCCUGACCAGAUAAUGCCUCUUAUCUUCUUGUCAUAAAAGAGGACAGCAAUUCUUCUGUGUGUGGCUGUUGGCCCCAAAUUCACACUGCUGUGAAGCCACCUAUAUCACUAAUCUCAGCAAACACAACUGGUUUACCUCAUGCCUGAAAUUAAGCAAAUAAAUAUUAGUAUAAGGCUUAGCAGAAUGCAUCCAGCUCACAGGGGAAUUAAUUUAUUCCUGAGCAAUACAUCUGAAGAUGAGGGAUUCCUUGAAGUUGGGCUCUGGUGGUGGCAGCAGAGCAAGUUUUCACAAGCCAACAGAUAAGCGUGAUUUACGCAGCAGUAGUGUUUAUAUGCUGUAAUUCACUUACCUGAUAACCUGCAGUCAAGUUUACAGUUUGCUUUGAAGUUUUGCAAAGAAAAAGACCUGACUCAUAAGUCUGUUGCUAAACAUCAUGUAUUGUUGCUUCCUCUAAACCAGAUUCAUUUGUCUUUUUCCCAGUAAGCAGUGCUGAAGUCUUUGAAAAGUUUAAUGGAAAUAUUUGUGGCAAUCAACCAGCUGAUUCCUGUGUGAAACCUCAUACUCUUCCUUAGAGUCAUAAAAGAAAUUAUGCAGUUUGUCAUACCACAGAGUGCUCAUUAGGACUAGUAUUCAUUGCUGCAACAGAUGACCUAUUUAAGUUGGCUAGAGACACUUCUGUCAUUAACAUCUCUGCCUUAGAAAGUAGCAUCCAGUAGUAACCGUCAAAGCACCACCCAGCGUAUAAUAAGUACACGUGCUAAGAGAAGCAUUAGACUGAACUGAAACCAUGUCAGGUGAACUCGUUGUUGGUCUUUGUUCUCUCAUUAUGUACACUGAUUUCUCACUUUUGGUCCAAACUGUGGUGCAUAAUUAUACUAUUGUAACAUUCCAUGCUAAGUAAAAGGUUUUAACUAAGUUAAAACCUUAUAAAAAUUACCUGUUAGUAUUUUUAAAUUGGGUCACAGGGAACCUAACAACUUUGUUUGCUCCCAGGUUUGGAUCUGCAAUUCUAAGCACAGGACAUUUAGCUGUACAAGAUCUGAUUUUCCCCCCUGCAUAAACAUUUCAGAUGCUACCCUUCCUUGCACAAUACUAUCCAGGAAGAAACAUUUUAAGGCUCCUGCUUUGAGAACAAAACCCAUUUUCAAGUAGUAGCAAUAGGUACUUCAUAGCAUGAAAAUAAAAAUAACACCGGUUGAAGUUAUCAUCAUUAAUCAAAAGCAGUGGCUCCUACCUUUGCGGUGCUGGGCCCUCUUUCUACCAAACCUUACCCAUCUUGCUGUAGUCUUCCUGUGUUGUUCUGUUGUAGCCGUGACAUGCAGCAAUGGCAUAACAACACAGAGGUUUGAGAGAACACUCUUGUACCAAUCCCGAGCAAUUUACAGUAUGGUAAAGCCCCUCUCUGAGUGCUCACAGAUGGCCAGGAAAAUUCCUGUGGAAGGUUAUGCCACAGGUGUUCAACUGGACAAAGAAUCUUAGGGACUAAUAAAGAACAGAAUAGCUAAAUAAUCUUGUCUUGUUAGUGUUAUCUUAAUAAUAUUAAAGAUCUAUAAUGAAUAAUGGAUUUGCAUGACACUGUUCUCCUGUCCCUCCGUUGUGCUGUGGGUAUGUGCAUGAGUGUGCCUCUACUACACAUUUUUUUCUGAGCCCCACACCUGCUAAAAAGCAUUACAGCAUCAUAGAAUGGUGGUAAUUCUAAACCAGGGCCAAAUACGGUAUAUUAAACACAAUUUAUACAGAAGGUGUGAAUUAUAAGGUAUAUCUGACUACUUUCUCUUCAAGCAGAACUUUGGAAAGAUGUUGAAAGUGAAAUUACAGCACAAAGCAACACCUGCUCCUUCCCCCAUUGUAAAGGAAAUGAUAGUAGUGUUCCAGCAAAAAUAUAGCCUGUUGCCCCUGUACUUGCUUUGGAAUAACGCAGAGGCAAAAUCAGGCUCCUAAGCUUCAAGAAGCCAUACCACUGCCUUCCGCUUAAAGGAUAAAGCCACUGUGAUUUUUGCAGACAAAGCCACUGGAAUAAGUGUCUUUGAUGUUUUGGUGGAUGAGAAUCUGUAUUUAUUUAUCUGGUAGAUUAAACAUCCUGUGAUGGAUACUCUUAAAUGUUCCAUUUCCUCAUUUUCACUAAUUCCCAGUGAAAGAAAUUAUUUCUAAUUUCUGCAGCUGGCAGUAAGGUUUCCAAAAUUUGCUUUGCUGAAUGUCUGUUUAUCUCUGGAACUGCUCGGGUACAUGGCAAAAUAUAUUAGCCCUUGGGACCAGAUGCCUGAACAACUGAAGCAGAGCCUAUGAUGUGCGUUCCAAAGCUUUCAGUCUUUCUGAUUUCAAAAAAUGUAAGAGUCCCAGGGUAGCCUGUACGUAUGCUUUGUUUCAGAGAGCCUCUUUUUUUUUUUUAAAAAAAGAGACUACUCUUGAAAGCCAAAGGAACUGGGAAUAUAUUAUAAACUCAGGCUGUGAUGACAUGCAGCACAGCAUGGUCUGCUUCAGCACUUGAUUACCCUAGAUUAACAACAGAGACACUUUGCAAUUUGCAGAGGGUUGCUCUUCAAAAUAAGUAACCAAUAACUGCAUGCAGAAUGCCUUGUUGCUGAAUCUGAAAUUCUUUGUCUCACUU